RNAcentral lists this ribosomal RNA (585 nucleotides) under Carnobacterium sp. AT7. Its description in RNAcentral is "bacterial SSU rRNA". It matches the Rfam family "Bacterial small subunit ribosomal RNA", at positions 1 to 556 of the family's 1533-position model. Lineage: Bacteria; Bacillati; Bacillota; Bacilli; Lactobacillales; Carnobacteriaceae. The record is from RNAcentral.
UUUAUAUGAGAGUUUGAUCCUGGCUCAGGACGAACGCUGGCGGCAUGCCUAAUACAUGCAAGUCGAACGCUUUAACUUCAUCGGGUGCUUGCACCCAUCGAAGUUAAAGAGUGGCGGACGGGUGAGUAACACGUGGGUAACCUGCCCAUAAGAGGGGGAUAACAUUCGGAAACGGAUGCUAAUACCGCAUAUUUCUAAUCGUCUCCUGACGAAUGGAAGAAAGGUGGCUUCGGCUACCGCUUAUGGAUGGACCCGCGGCGUAUUAGCUAGUUGGUGAGGUAAUGGCUCACCAAGGCGAUGAUACGUAGCCGACCUGAGAGGGUGAUCGGCCACACUGGGACUGAGACACGGCCCAGACUCCUACGGGAGGCAGCAGUAGGGAAUCUUCCGCAAUGGACGAAAGUCUGACGGAGCAAUGCCGCGUGAGUGAAGAAGGUUUUCGGAUCGUAAAACUCUGUUGUUAGAGAAGAAUAAGGAUGAGAGUAACUGCUCAUCCCCUGACGGUAUCUAACCAGAAAGCCACGGCUAACUACGUGCCAGCAGCCGCGGUAAUACGUAGGUGGCAAGCGUUGUCCGGAUUUAUUG